Molecule: ribosomal RNA, 161 nt
Filed under: Ixodes gibbosus
Lineage: Eukaryota; Metazoa; Arthropoda; Arachnida; Ixodida; Ixodidae
Description: partial 16S ribosomal RNA
Source: RNAcentral
CCCUGAUGCACAAGGUACCUAAUGUACUUUUUCUUUUUUUAAAAUAUUAAAAUAUUCAUAUUUCCUUUACAGUACAAAAAUUAACUUUUCUUAUAAAAAUACAAAAAUUUAAAUAUAAUUUUAUACUAAAAAUCUGUUCUUAUUUUAUUUUUUAUAAAAAA